UCCCGGCAGUCCAAGUCGCAACCACAUUUACUGGGUCUAAAACAUCCGUAGCUUGUUUUGCAAGUCUCUUGUGAAAUCUGGCAUCUUAAGUGUCAGGCGUGCAAGAGAUACUGCAAAGCUAGAGACCGGAAGACGCAAUGAGUACACUUGAGGUAGUGGUAAAAUACGUUAAUCUCAAGCGGACUACCAAUUGGCGAAGGCACGUUGCGAGGACGGAUCUGACAGUGAGGGAUGAAGGCCAGGGG
RNAcentral lists this ribosomal RNA (245 nucleotides) under uncultured archaeon. RNAcentral describes it as "partial 16S ribosomal RNA". It matches the Rfam family "Archaeal small subunit ribosomal RNA", at positions 474 to 717 of the family's 1478-position model. The record is from RNAcentral.